ACCAAUUCUGGGGAUAAUUUGUUCCUCUCAGGUAUAAUGGCUUGGGCGCUAUAACAAUUUGUGGCUAUCCUGAUCGAUGUUCUUUCAAUGCCAUUAGAUCCUGGAAACACCUCGUACAACC
Molecule: small nucleolar RNA, 121 nt
Organism: Cannabis sativa
Lineage: Eukaryota; Viridiplantae; Streptophyta; Magnoliopsida; Rosales; Cannabaceae
Source: RefSeq, a predicted model, not a curated record